This 1341-nucleotide ribosomal RNA is filed under the name uncultured bacterium. RNAcentral describes it as "partial 16S ribosomal RNA". It matches the Rfam family "Bacterial small subunit ribosomal RNA", at positions 28 to 1381 of the family's 1533-position model. The record is from RNAcentral.
GACGAACGCUGGCGGCGUGCUUAACACAUGCAAGUCGAACGGAAAGGCCCUGCUUGCGCGCCACUCAAGUGGCCAACGGAUGAGUAACACGUGCGUGAUCUGCCCUGCACUUCGGGAGAAACCUGGGAAACUGGGUCUAAUACCGGAUAGGAGCCAUUUUUAAUGUGAUGGUUGGAAAGUUUUUUCCGGGUAUGAUGAGCUCGCGGCCUAUCUCCUUGCUGGAGGGGCAAUGGCCUACCGAGGCGGCUACCGGUAGCCCGCCUGAGAGGGCGAACUGACACAUUGAUCACUGACAUACGGCCCAGACUCCUACGGGAGACACCUACGGGGAAUAUUGCACAAUGAGCGCAAGCCUGAUGCAACGACGCCACGUAGCGCAUGACGGCCUUCGAGAUGGACACUCCUUUCGCUAGGGACGAAACUUUUUGUGACCGUACCUAUAUAAGACUCACCGUGUAACUACGUGCCAUCAUCCGCGAUACUACGUAUGGUGCGAGCGUUCUCCCGAAUUACUGCGCAUAAAGGACUCGUAAGUCGUAUGUCUCGUCCUCUGAGCAACUCCAGGCCUUAUCUCCAGUCGUACGUGCGAUACCGCCAUAACUCGAGUAUUGUCGGUGUAACCGAAUUCCUGGUGUAGCGGAGAUGUACACAGAUAUCAAGAAGAACCCCUAUGGCAAACGACUGUUACUGGUCAGUUACUGACUCUGAUGAGCGAAAGCGUGGAUAGCGAACGAGAUUAUAUACCCUGGUACUCCAUGCCAUACACUGAGGGCGCUAUGUGUGAGGGUCUUUUCACCACUUUCCUGCCGCAACUAACUCAUUAACCGCCCCUGCUGAGGAGUACGGCCGCAAGGCUAAUACUCAAAGGAAUUGACGGGGGGCCCCACAAGCGGCGCAGCAUGUGGAUUAAUUCGAUGCAACGCGAACAACCUUACCUGGUCUUGACAUACACCGGAUCGGGCUAGAGAUAGUCUUUCCCUUUGUGACUGAUGUACAGGUGGUGCAUGGUUGUCGUCAGCUCGUGUCGUGAGAUGUUGGGUUAAGUCCCGCAACGAGCGCAACCCUUGUCUUAUGUUGCCAGCAUUUGGUUGGGGACUCAUGAGAGACUGCCGGGGUCAACUCGGAGGAAGGUGGGGAUGACGUCAAAUCAUCAUGCCCCUUAUGUACAGGGCUUCACACAUGCUACAAUGGUCGGUACAACGGGCAGCGACACUGUGAGGUGGAGCGAAUUGCCGAAAGCCGGCUUUAGUUUGGAUUGGGGUUUGCAACUUGAGCCCCAAGAAGUCGGAGUCGGUAGUAAUUGCAGAUCAGACACGCUGCGGUGAAUACGUUCCCGGGUCC